Molecule: ribosomal RNA, 480 nt
Filed under: uncultured bacterium
Lineage: Bacteria
Description: bacterial SSU rRNA
Rfam family: Bacterial small subunit ribosomal RNA
Source: RNAcentral
GACGAACGCUGGCGGCGUGCCUAACACAUGCAAGUCGAGCGGAGUCGAUUGACGGAAGCCUUCGGGCGGAAGAUGGUUGACUUAGCGGCGGAUGGGUGAGUAACGCGUGGGCAACCUGCCUCGAAGACCGGGAUAACAGCCCGAAAGGGCUGCUAAUACCGGAUGUGGUCAAGGAUCCGCAUGGAUUUUUGAUUAAAGGGGAAACCCGUUUCGAGAUGGGCCCGCGUCCUAUCAGCUAGUUGGUGAGGUAAAAGCUCACCAAGGCGACGACGGGUAGCCGGCCUGAGAGGGUGACCGGCCACACUGGAACUGAGACACGGUCCAGACUCCUACGGGGGCAGCAGUGGGGAAUCUUCCACAAUGGGCGAAAGCCUGAUGGAGCGACGCCGCGUGAGCGAAGAAGGCCUCGGUUGUAAAGCUCUGUCUGAGGGACGAAGGAAGUGACGGUACCUCCGGAGGAAGCCACGGCGUAACUACGUG